AUUUCUAACACCAUUAAGUUGGUUUAUGGAAAAGUAAUAAAAUCCUCUUUUGCAACCCAGAACUCAUUGUUCAGUAUGAGUUUUGAUAUAUAUAAGAAAGAAUAUU
This 106-nucleotide small nucleolar RNA is filed under the name Propithecus coquereli (Coquerel's sifaka). RNAcentral's name for it is "Small nucleolar RNA SNORA40 (ENSPCOG00000007426.1)". It matches the Rfam family "Small nucleolar RNA SNORA40". From Rfam's summary of the family: The snoRNA ACA 40 belongs to the H/ACA family of snoRNAs and guides the pseudouridylation of 28S rRNA subunit at position U4565. NB This family has a high threshold value to exclude a large number of closely related sequences that do not appear to have conserved H and ACA boxes, and may be pseudogenes. The record is from Rfam by way of RNAcentral. Lineage: Eukaryota; Metazoa; Chordata; Mammalia; Primates; Indriidae.